This is a non-coding RNA of Podarcis lilfordi (Lilford's wall lizard), 72 nucleotides long. The record is from the annotation of a GenBank genome assembly. NCBI's taxonomy places the organism in Eukaryota, Metazoa, Chordata, Lepidosauria, Squamata, Lacertidae.
AGGGUUGUAGUUCAGUGGUACAGUAUCUGCUGUGCAGGCAGAAGGACCCAGGUUCAAUCCCUGGAAACUCUG